GGGCGGUUAGCUCAGCUGGUAGAGCAGCUGACUUACAUUCAGCAGGCCGUUGGUUCGAUCCCAGCACCGCCCA
This 73-nucleotide transfer RNA is filed under the name Candidatus Omnitrophota bacterium. RNAcentral describes it as "tRNA-Val". It matches the Rfam family "tRNA". Rfam says of the family: Transfer RNA (tRNA) molecules are approximately 80 nucleotides in length. Lineage: Bacteria; Pseudomonadati; Candidatus Omnitrophota. The record is from RNAcentral.